RNAcentral lists this ribosomal RNA (440 nucleotides) under uncultured bacterium. RNAcentral describes it as "partial 16S ribosomal RNA". It matches the Rfam family "Bacterial small subunit ribosomal RNA", at positions 338 to 795 of the family's 1533-position model. The record is from RNAcentral.
CCUACGGGAGGCAGCAGUGGGGGAUAUUGCACAAUGGGGGAAACCCUGAUGCAGCGACGCCGCGUGUGGGAAGACGGUCCUCUGGAUUGUAAACCACUGUCCUCAGGGACGAAAAUGACGGUACCUGGGGAGGAAGCUCCGGCAAACUACGUGCCAGCAGCCGCGGUAAUACGUAGGGGGCGAGCGUUGUCCGGAAUUACUGGGGGUAAGGGGAGCGUAGGCGGGGAUGCAAGUUGGGUGUCAAAACUACCGGCUCAACUGGUAGUCGCACUCAAAACUGCAGCUCUUGAGUGAAGUAGAGGCAGGCGGAAUUCCUGGUGUAGCGGUGAAAUGCGUAGAUAUUAGGAGGAACACCAGUGGCGAAGGCGGCCUGCUGGGCUUUUACUGACGCUGAGGCUCGAAAGUGUGGGGAGCAAACAGGAUUAGAUACCCUUGUAGUC